UAAACCGCUUUCAGCAGGGAAGAGUCAAGACUGUACCUGCAGAAGAAGCCCCGGCUAACUACGUGCCAGCAGCCGCGGUAAUACGUAGGGGGCGAGCGUUAUCCGGAUUCAUUGGGCGUAAAGCGCGCGUAGGCGGCCCGGCAGGCCGGGGGUCGAAGCGGGGGGUUCAACCCCCCGGAAGCCCCCGGAACCUCCGCGGCUUGGGUCCGGUAGGGGAGGGUGGAACACCCGGUGUAGCGGUGGAAUGCGCAGAUAUCGGGUGGAACACCGGUGGCGAAGGCGGCCCUCUGGGCCGAGACCGACGCUGAGGCGCGAAAGCUGGGGGAGCGAACAGGAUUAGAUACCCUGGUAGUCCCAGCCGUAAACGAUGGACGCUAGGUGUGGGGGGACGAUCCCCCCGUGCCGCAGCCAACGCAUUAAGCGUCCCGCCUGGGGAGUACGGCCGCAAGGCUAAAACUCAAAGGAAUUGACGGGGGCCCGCACAAGCAGCGGAGCAUGUGGCUUAAUUCGAAGCAACGCGAAGAACCUUACCAGGGCUUGACAUAUGGGUGAAGCGGGGGAGACCCCGUGGCCGAGAGGAGCCCAUACAGGUGGUGCAUGGCUGUCGUCAGCUCGUGUCGUGAGAUGUUGGGUUAAGUCCCGCAACGAGCGCAACCCCCGCCGCGUGUUGCCAUCGGGUGAUGCCGGGAACCCACGCGGGACCGCCGCUGUCAAGGCGGAGGAGGGCGGGGACGACGUCAAGUCAUCAUGCCCCUUAUGCCCUGGGCUGCACACGUGCUACAAUGGCCGGUACAGAGGGAUGCCACCCCGCGAGGGGGAGCGGAUCCCGGAAAGCCGGCCCCAGUUCGGAUUGGGGGCUGCAACCCGCCCCCAUGAAGUCGGAGUUGCUAGUAAUCGCGGAUCAGCAUGCCGCGGUGAAUGCGUUCCCGGGCCUUGUACACACCGCCCGUCACA
This 954-nucleotide ribosomal RNA is filed under the name Collinsella aerofaciens. Its description in RNAcentral is "bacterial SSU rRNA". It matches the Rfam family "Bacterial small subunit ribosomal RNA", at positions 426 to 1401 of the family's 1533-position model. The record is from RNAcentral. Lineage: Bacteria; Bacillati; Actinomycetota; Coriobacteriia; Coriobacteriales; Coriobacteriaceae.